UACGGAGGGUGCGAGCGUUGUCCGGAAUCACUGGGCGGAAAGGGCGCGUAGGUGGCGCGAUGAGUCAACGGUGAAAGCUCGACGCUCAACGUCGAGUCGGCCGUCGAUACUGUCGCGCUCGAGCACUGUAGGGGCAGAUGGAAUUCCGGGUGUAGCGGUGGAAUGCGUAGAGAUCCGGAAGAACACCGGUGGCGAAGGCGGUCUGCUGGGCAGUUGCUGACACUGAUGCGCGAAAGCGUGGGGAGCAAACGGG
Molecule: ribosomal RNA, 253 nt
Filed under: uncultured bacterium
Lineage: Bacteria
Description: partial 16S ribosomal RNA
Rfam family: Bacterial small subunit ribosomal RNA
Source: RNAcentral